RNAcentral lists this long non-coding RNA (927 nucleotides) under Nicotiana benthamiana. RNAcentral's name for it is "long non-coding RNA (NBEN_LNC037972)". The record is from RNAcentral. Lineage: Eukaryota; Viridiplantae; Streptophyta; Magnoliopsida; Solanales; Solanaceae.
AAAACAACCUAAUUAUUCACACCCAAAACCAAUUGUUUGUGGCCCAUUACCCCUACAUAUAAAAGAUAAUUAGGAAACCUAAAGGAGAGAAAGAAAAUCCAUCAGAUCUUUUUCCAAGAAUAGGACAAAACGGCGCAAGACUGGAGACUCAGUUUUCUUCUUCUUUGUAAAUUUUUCUCAAAAACACACACUGAAAAAAAUUCUUUAUUGGCUUCUGCAACGAUUUCUUCUCCAUCUCUCCUUUCUCUUUCUAUAGUUAAGAAUUUCUUAGAUUUUCAAGCUACAUAGCUGCAGUUAUUGAAAUAAAAAGGGAAAAUAUGGGAUUAUAUGAAAAUUGAUUACAAGGGUCAAGGCUAAUGAUCUUUAAAAAUACCGAGCAAACAGCGCCCUCAUCUGUAGGCAACUCUCGUCUUCAACAAAACUGACCUUCACUAAGUUGAAGUAGAAAUUUCGAAAUUUAAGAAGUUCAAAGGAUAGAAAUUUAACACACAUAAAAGUUUCGAACAAGAUGAGUUGAAAGCAAUCUGGACAACCGCCAAUUUUUGUUGGAUUUGCACCACAUUCUCUGAGAAUUUUAAGUCUUUCUUUAGACUGGGAAUUGAAGUUGUUCUUGCUAAGUUUGUGUUGCUGAGACCUUGUUUAUUUCUUGCCGAUUCCUUGUUCCCCUGCUGUAAAGCACGAAUUUAGAUUUGGAAUUGUAUCGUGAUGCUUUCAAACUGGAGCAUGUAUAUAGUGUAUGGUAAAUUAUUUAUACGUUUUUGGUUAUUCCUUUGGGCUAAUCUUUCAUGACAAUGUGAUAUAAACAGAGGGAGUAAAAUCUAAUGCAACGAGAAAUAAAUCCCAUAUUUAGUUGCUAUUUUGAUUGUGAAAGUGGUACUAUUUAAUGGAUAUUUGUAUUUACAUAAAGUAAUCUGAUAGUGAAAGAGG